Apis florea (little honeybee) is the source of this 594-nucleotide long non-coding RNA. NCBI's taxonomy places the organism in Eukaryota, Metazoa, Arthropoda, Insecta, Hymenoptera, Apidae. The record is from RefSeq and is a predicted model, not a curated record.
CAGCCAAGAUUGUUCCUAACAUCACACGUUUUUUCGCUCCAGAUAAAACACGCACGUUCAUCCACGAACGGCGUGGAGGAAAAAGAUAGCCGGCCGAUCGGGGUAAUCGAUCUCGACAGAUGCAUCAGCUUGUUGCUACUGGUAAAGGAAAAAAGAAAAAAAGAGAGAGAAAAGAAAAAUACUACGUGCACCGACAAGAAGAGGAAGAGGAAAAAGAAGUGUAGCACGUUGGAUCAAUGAGAGGCGCGUUGCACGCGCUUUCACGAUAAUAAAUAUCUCGCCAAUUUAUCACGUCAACUGAUUACAUGCGGCAAAACGUUACCGAUUACCAUUUUCCGGACAGAUCGAUUUACGAUUUCAGUAAUUUUCCCGGACGAUCAUUCAUCGCUCCUAAGUUAACGGCUAAAAACGGCUUCUACGAAAAUGAUCCCAUUCAAAUGAUUCGACUGCGUUUAAAAACCGAGGCAAAUGCGUUUGUCCCGGCAAUUAACGGGGAGGAAACUUUCUUAUUAACUUUCUUCGGGAGAAGAAGUAACCACGGUGAAAUUUUUACGCAGCCGUGGCGGAGAAUAGAGAAAGAAAUUGUCGCGUGUC